Molecule: ribosomal RNA, 776 nt
Filed under: uncultured bacterium
Lineage: Bacteria
Description: bacterial SSU rRNA
Rfam family: Bacterial small subunit ribosomal RNA
Source: RNAcentral
UCGAACGCGUCUCCGUUAAUGAUUUUAGGUGCUUGCACUUGAGAGAUUUAACAUUGAGACGAGUGGCGAACUGGUGAGUAACACGUGGGUAACCUGCCCUUGAAGUAGGGGAUAACACUUGGAAACAGGUGCUAAUACCGUAUAACAACCAAAACCACCUGGUUUUGGUUUAAAAGACGGCUUCGGCUGUCACUUUAGGAUGGACCCGCGGCGUAUUAGCUUGUUGGUAAGGUAACGGCCUACCAAGGCGAUGAUACGUAGCCGACCUGAGAGGGUAAUCGGCCACAUUGGGACUGAGACACGGCCCAAACUCCUACGGGAGGCAGCAGUAGGGAAUCUUCCACAAUGGACGAAAGUCUGAUGGAGCAACGCCGCGUGAGUGAUGAAGGGUUUCGGCUCGUAAAACUCUGUUGUUGGAGAAGAACAGGUGUCAGAGCAACUGUUGACAUCUUGACGGUAUCCAACCAGAAAGCCACGGCUAACUACGUGCCAGCAGCCGCGGUAAUACGUAGGUGGCAAGCGUUGUCCGGAUUUAUUGGGCGUAAAGCGAGCGCAGGCGGUUUUUUAGGUCUGAUGUGAAAGCCUUCGGCUUAACCGGAGAAGUGCAUCGGAAACCGGGAGGCUUGAGUGCAGAAGAGGACAGUGGAACUCCAUGUGUAGCGGUGAAAUGCGUAGAUAUAUGGAAGAACACCAGUGGCGAAGGCGGCUGUCUGGUCUGUAACUGACGCUGAGGCUCGAAAGCAUGGGUAGCGAACAGGAUUAGAUACCCUGGUAGU